GAAUGCUGACAUAAGUAACGAUAAAGCGGGUGAAAAGCCCGCUCGCCGGAAGACCAAGGGUUCCUGUCCAACGUUAAUCGGGGCAGGGUGAGUCGACCCCUAAGGCGAGGCCGAAAGGCGUAGUCGAUGGGAAACAGGUUAAUAUUCCUGUACUUGGUGUUACUGCGAAGGGGGGACGGAGAAGGCUAUGUUGGCCGGGCGACGGUUGUCCCGGUUUAAGCGUGUAGGCUGGUUUUCCAGGCAAAUCCGGAAAAUCAAGGCUGAGGCGUGAUGACGAGGCACUACGGUGCUGAAGCGACAAAUGCCCUGCUUCCAGGAAAAGCCUCUAAGCAUCAGGUAACAUCAAAUCGUACCCCAAACCGACACAGGUGGUC
Molecule: ribosomal RNA, 374 nt
Filed under: Escherichia coli
Lineage: Bacteria; Pseudomonadati; Pseudomonadota; Gammaproteobacteria; Enterobacterales; Enterobacteriaceae
Description: partial 23S ribosomal RNA
Rfam family: Bacterial large subunit ribosomal RNA
Source: RNAcentral